GAGCGAGAAAGUCCGCAAGGAUGAGUACAGCGGCGCACGGGUGCGUAACACGUGGGUAAUCUGCCCUGAAGCCCGGAAUAACCUCCCGAAAGGGAAGCUAAUGCCGGAUAAGACCACGGGAGCCUCGGCUCCUGCGGGAAAAGGUGGCCUCUGCACGCAAGCUAUCACUUCAGGAUGAGCCCGCGGCCCAUCAGCUCGUUGGCGGGGUAACGGCCCACCAAGGCUACGACGGGUAGCUGGUCUGAGAGGACGAUCAGCCACACUGGAACUGAGACACGGUCCAGACUCCUACGGGAGGCAGCAGUGGGGAAUCUUGCGCAAUGGGCGAAAGCCUGACGCAGCAACGCCGCGUGUGUGAUGAAGGUCUUCGGAUCGUAAAGCACUGUUCGGGAGGAAAGAACAAGCCUGUGGCUAACAUUCCACGGGCCUUGACGGUACCUCCAAAGGAAGCACCGGCUAACUCUGUGCCAGCAGCCGCGGUAAUACAGAGGGUGCAAGCGUUGUUCGGAAUUAUUGGGCGUAAAGCGCGUGUAGGCGGCCCUGCAAGUUGGGUGUGAAAGCCCUCGGCUUAACCGAGGAAGUGCGCCCAAAACUACAAGGCUUGAGUACCGGAGAGGAUGGCGGAAUACCCGGUGUAGAGGUGAAAUUCGUAGAUAUCGGGUGGAACACCAGUGGCGAAGGCGGCCAUCUGGACGGAUACUGACGCUGAGACGCGAAAGCGUGGGGAGCAAACA
RNAcentral lists this ribosomal RNA (734 nucleotides) under uncultured delta proteobacterium. Its description in RNAcentral is "bacterial SSU rRNA". It matches the Rfam family "Bacterial small subunit ribosomal RNA", at positions 64 to 774 of the family's 1533-position model. Lineage: Bacteria; Deltaproteobacteria. The record is from RNAcentral.